GAUGAACGCUGGCGGCGUGCCUAAUACAUGCAAGUCGAGCGAACGGACGAGAAGCUUGCUUCUCUGAUGUUAGCGGCGGACGGGUGAGUAACACGUGGAUAACCUACCUAUAAGACUGGGAUAACUUCGGGAAACCGGAGCUAAUACCGGAUAAUAUUUUGAACCGCAUGGUUCAAAAGUAAAAGACGGUCUUGCUGUCACUUAUAGAUGGAUCCGCGCUGCAUUAGCUAGUUGGUAAGGUAACGGCUUACCAAGGCAACGAUGCAUAGCCGACCUGAGAGGGUGAUCGGCCACACUGGAACUGAGACACGGUCCAGACUCCUACGGGAGGCAGCAGUAGGGAAUCUUCCGCAAUGGGCGAAAGCCUGACGGGGCAACGCCGCGUGAGUGAUGAAGGUCUUCGGAUCGUAAAACUCUGUUAUUAGGGAAGAACAUAUGUGUAAGUAACUGUGCACAUCUUGACGGUACCUAAUCAGAAAGCCACGGCUAACUACGUG
Molecule: ribosomal RNA, 497 nt
Filed under: uncultured bacterium
Lineage: Bacteria
Description: partial 16S ribosomal RNA
Rfam family: Bacterial small subunit ribosomal RNA
Source: RNAcentral